GGUUGACCUCGGAUCAGGUAGGAAUACCCGCUGAACUUAAGCAUAUCAAUAAGCGGAGGAAAAGAAACCAACAGGGAUUGCCCUAGUAACGGCGAGUGAAGCGGCAACAGCUCAAAUUUGAAAUCUGGCCCUUGGGUCCGAGUUGUAAUUUGUAGAGGAUGCUUUUGGUGCGGUACCUUCCGAGUUCCCUGGAACGGGACGCCAUAGAGGGUGAGAGCCCCGUCUGGUUGGAUACCAAUCCUCUGUAAAGCUCCUUCGACGAGUCGAGUAGUUUGGGAAUGCUGCUCUAAAUGGGAGGUAUAUGUCUUCUAAAGCUAAAUAUUGGCCAGAGACCGAUAGCGCACAAGUAGAGUGAUCGAAAGAUGAAAAGCACUUUGAAAAGAGGGUUAAACAGUACGUGAAAUUGUUGAAAGGGAAGCGCUUGUGACCAGACUUGGGCCCGGUUAAUCAUCCACCGUUCUCGGUGGUGCACUUGGCCGGCCCAGGCCAGCAUCAGUUCGGCGUGGGGGAUAAAGGCGGCGGGAAUGUGGCUCCUCGGAGUGUUAUAGCCCACCGUGCAAUACCCUGUGCUGGACUGAGGUUCGCGCAUCUGCAAGGAUGCUGGCGUAAUGGUCAUCAGCGACCCGUCUU
RNAcentral lists this ribosomal RNA (630 nucleotides) under Cosmospora aurantiicola. RNAcentral describes it as "eukaryotic LSU rRNA". It matches the Rfam family "Eukaryotic large subunit ribosomal RNA", at positions 1 to 655 of the family's 3401-position model. The record is from RNAcentral. Lineage: Eukaryota; Fungi; Ascomycota; Sordariomycetes; Hypocreales; Nectriaceae.